CUCCUACGGGAGGCAGCAGUCGGGAAUUUUGGGCAAUGGGCGAAAGCCUGACCCAGCAACACCGCGUGAAGGAUGAAAUCCCUCGGGAUGUAAACUUCGCAAGAAUGGGAAGAAUUAGUGGGGGUUAAUACCCCCUAUGAUGACGGUACCAUUUGUAAGCUCCGGCUAACUCCGUGCCAGCAGCCGCGGUAA
Molecule: ribosomal RNA, 192 nt
Filed under: uncultured bacterium
Lineage: Bacteria
Description: partial 16S ribosomal RNA
Rfam family: Bacterial small subunit ribosomal RNA
Source: RNAcentral